UGCCAGUACGGCGAGUGAGCGGCAAAGCUCAAAUUUGAAAUCCCCCGGGAAUUGUAAUUUGAAGAGAUUUGGGUCCGGCCGGCGGGGGUUAAGUCCACUGGAAAGUGGCGCCACAGAGGGUGACAGCCCCGUGAACCCCUUCAACGCCCUCAUCCCAGAUCUCCAAGAGUCGAGUUGUUUGGGAAUGCAGCUCUAAGUGGGUGGUAAAUUCCAUCUAAAGCUAAAUACCGGCGAGAGACCGAUAGCGAACAAGUACAGUGAUGGAAAGAUGAAAAGCACUUUGAAAAGAGAGUGAAAAAGUACGUGAAAUUGUUGAAAGGGAAGGGCUUGCAAGCAGACACUUAACUGGGCCAGCAUCGGGGCGGCGGGAAGCAAAACCACCGGGGAAUGUACCUUUCGAGGAUUAUAACCCCGGUCCUUAUUCCUGUUGCCCCGAGGCCUGCAAUCUAAGGAUGCUGGCGUAAUGGUUGCAAGUCGCCCGUCUUGAAAACAC
This 493-nucleotide ribosomal RNA is filed under the name Metschnikowia sp. (in: budding yeasts & allies). Its description in RNAcentral is "eukaryotic LSU rRNA". It matches the Rfam family "Eukaryotic large subunit ribosomal RNA", at positions 78 to 662 of the family's 3401-position model. Lineage: Eukaryota; Fungi; Ascomycota; Pichiomycetes; Serinales; Metschnikowiaceae. The record is from RNAcentral.